CCGUUUAAUUCGUUAAAAGGUUCUAUUUUUAAUAAAUCAGUUACUAUAAAAUUAUACCAAAAGGAUUCCUUUGAAUAGUGAACCUUUUUGCAUUGUUUUAUAUUUAACAUUAAAAUUAAUAUUUAGUUAAGACUACUGUAAGUUUUAAAGUUCCUCCAUAAGACAGGCUAAUACUAUUUAAGAUGUAUUUGAAUCGAACUGUUUCAUAUUAUUCCACUAUAUCAUAACAUAAUUAUAGUAACGUUUUUGUUUUAUAAUAUGUUUUCAUUUUUAUCAGUUUGAGGACGCCCCAAUUCAGGCAAAAAUAGUUGAAGUCGCCCCCCUUUCCACACCUACCGCCACCCUCCCAUUAUUAAUGACUGGUCCCUAAGCAAAUUAUUUUUCUAACAUGACUAGAAAUCUAUUUAUUUUACUUCCUUUGUAAUUUCCAUAUCACGUUGAAAUAGUAUGGUUUCAACUGUAAACAGUGAAUUAUCAGCCUAACUAGCCUAGUCCCAGACUCUCUCUCUAUUCGCUGCUUUGAUAUAUUUAAAUAAGUCUUAAAAGUUUUAUGCCUGGGUGUGCUGUGCGGAACGCUUCAGCGAGAGGGCUUAUAGCGGAUUUCGGUAAAAUGGUCCCUGAUUUCAAAAAAGCGGUCCCUGUCCUGCUAACCAAGCAUACCGCAUUUGUAAAUAGAAAAUGUUAUGGAAAUUUCCUUUGCGUUUAUAAUUAAGUCAUUAGUUCUGCUCUAAUGCUGUCGGAACAAUGAAAUAGGCUACGUUUCGCUACCAUACGGUCAGAAUGGAAUAACGGGCUAAAUACGACUUGUGCAUGUUUACUAAAAUAUAAAGUCAUAUUAAAUUAUAUCUAGAAGCUUGAAAAUUAUGCCGAGCCUCCGACUAAAAAUGUUUUGACAACACAGUCAUGUCAGGCAAAUAUUUCCAAUCUCCUCAGCUACUUAAAACUGUCAAGUAGAAAGCGUAGCUGCAUGUGUAUACCAGUAUCAUGGUCUAGUGUUGAUCACAACUUGCAAGUAUAUAAAUAUCAUCAACGAUUAUACGCCCAUUGCUCAGACUCAGUAUCGUAAAUUUGUAUAUAUUUUUUACAACAUGAGCUCCACCUUUGAAUUUACUAUAUGAGUAAAUUCUUAAACACGUCCGAAUUUAUCAUUAUGAUAAAUUCGCGGCACAUUUUGAA
This is a non-coding RNA of Paramuricea clavata, 1176 nucleotides long. Lineage: Eukaryota; Metazoa; Cnidaria; Anthozoa; Malacalcyonacea; Plexauridae. The record is from the annotation of a GenBank genome assembly.